RNAcentral lists this long non-coding RNA (862 nucleotides) under Nicotiana benthamiana. Its description in RNAcentral is "long non-coding RNA (NBEN_LNC031772)". The record is from RNAcentral. Lineage: Eukaryota; Viridiplantae; Streptophyta; Magnoliopsida; Solanales; Solanaceae.
UCGGGUCAUUUUUCUCUUGAUGCAAAUAAUACAACGAAGGUCGUUCUCUCUCAAACACAGACGAAAACCCUAAACAAAUCCUCUCAUCAUCUACUCAUGUCACAAUAUUUUCAUGGUAUUAGAGCAGCGAUUCUGGUGUAUCUCGAGCUGCUCGUUCUUCCGAUUCUACCCUGGUUAUUUUUUGGUUGAGUUUUCUGGUCUCUUCUUGUCUCCAACUGUUCACAAAACAAUCGAAGAUUUUUUUCUUCAAAAGGUAUAAUUUCUCGUUGAUCUGUGCUCUAGACCAACGUUAGAGUCAUUUUUCCAAUGUUUUGGUUGAGAUUUGAAGAAAUGUUCACACUCUGAUUUGCUCAGCACUUGAAGCUAGGGUUAGCUAUGGUUUUCGUUAUCUAAAGGCCGUUCUUCUCCGGCAGCGAAGAAGUUGGAUAAAUUCAUUCUUCUCAUUGUGUUUAGGACUGAUGCAUGUAACUUUUGUGUUGAGAUUUUGUUGUAAAUCUAUUCCAUGUACUUUCAUUUUAUCGGCACUGUGUGAUAGCCUUGGGUUUCACUUAUACCUUUUCCCCCUAUCCUUCAAGUCCCUUUUUUGUACAUUCAUCUAAUAUUCCUGGUAUUUCAUUAGUUCCUGCUCCUUUUUCGGGUAUUUUGGGGGUUGGAGGAGAAAAAUGAUAGUUUCUUUAUCUGCUAAAAACAAAAUAGCUUUUCUUGAAGGUACAUGUCUUCGACCUGAACAAAAUUGUGGGAUAGGUGCAAUAAUAUGGUAAUAUCAUGGUUGAAAGCAUCAUUAUCCCUUGAGAUAGCUGAAAGUGUACAGUACUCUAAAACUGCUCAAAGCAUUUGGGUACAACUACAAACUAGGUAUGGG